This 467-nucleotide ribosomal RNA is filed under the name uncultured bacterium. RNAcentral's name for it is "partial 16S ribosomal RNA". It matches the Rfam family "Bacterial small subunit ribosomal RNA", at positions 28 to 507 of the family's 1533-position model. The record is from RNAcentral.
GACGAACGCUGGCGGCGUGCUUAACACAUGCAAGUCGAACGGAAAGGCCUCUUUCGGGGGGUACUCGGGUGGCGAACGGGUGAGUAACACGUGAGUAACCUGCCCUUGACUUUGGGAUAACUUCAGGAAACUGGGGCUAAUACCGGAUAGGAGCUCCUGCUGCAUGGUGGGGGUUGGAAAGUUUCGGCGGUUGGGGAUGGACUCGCGGCUUAUCAGCUUGUUGGUGGGGUAGUGGCUUACCAAGGCUUUGACGGGUAGCCGGCCUGAGAGGGUGACCGGCCACAUUGGGACUGAGAUACGGCCCAGACUCCUACGGGGGGCAGCAGUGGGGAAUAUUGCACAAUGGGUGGAAGCCUGAUGCAGCAACGCCGUGGGCGGGAUGACGGCCUUCGGGUUGUAAACCGCUUUCGCUCAUGACGAAGCUUUGUGUGACGGUAGUGGGUAAAGAAGCACCGGCUAACUACGUG